CUGCUCUUUCACUAGCCAUCACUCUGCUCUUUCACUAGCCAUCACUCUGCUCUUUCACUAGCCAUCACUCAGCUCUUUCCACUAGCCAUCAAUUUGUUCUUUCACUAGCCAUCACUCUGCUCUUUCACUAGCCAUCACUCUGCUCUUUCACUAGCCAUAGCUCUGCUCUUUCACUAGCCAUAACUCUGCUCUUUCACUAGCCAUAACUCUGCUCUUUCACUAGCCAUCACUCUGCUCUUUCACUAGCCGUCACUAGCCAUAACUCGGCUCUCUCACUAGCCGUCACUGUGCUCUUUCAUUAGCCAUCACUAGGUCUUUCACUAGCCGUCACUCUGC
Pelobates cultripes (western spadefoot toad) is the source of this 336-nucleotide non-coding RNA. Lineage: Eukaryota; Metazoa; Chordata; Amphibia; Anura; Pelobatidae. The record is from the annotation of a GenBank genome assembly.